Molecule: ribosomal RNA, 172 nt
Filed under: Alionematichthys riukiuensis
Lineage: Eukaryota; Metazoa; Chordata; Actinopteri; Ophidiiformes; Bythitidae
Description: partial 12S rRNA
Source: RNAcentral
CACCGCGGUUAUACGAGAGGCCCAAGUUGAUACUAUUCGGCGUAAAGCGUGGUUAAGAGGCCCAGCAUUAAACUAAAGUCGAAUGCUCCCAAAGCUGUUAUACGCACCUGGCAGCACGAAGCACAACUACAAAAGUAACUUUAACCUCCCCGAACCCACGAAAACUAAGAUA